CCCCGGGGACGACCCCGGGAAGAACGCUAUUUUGCUGCGGGACGACCCGC
RNAcentral lists this non-coding RNA (50 nucleotides) under Klebsiella ornithinolytica. RNAcentral describes it as "Raoultella ornithinolytica Guanidine-II sequence". It matches the Rfam family "Guanidine-II riboswitch aptamer (mini-ykkC)". From Rfam's summary of the family: Simpler in structure and has fewer highly conserved nucleotide positions than the ykkC-yxkD leader. Despite this each of its two stem-loop structures directly bind free guanidine. Therefore, mini-ykkC RNA motif represents a distinct class of guanidine-sensing RNAs. The record is from RNAcentral. Lineage: Bacteria; Pseudomonadati; Pseudomonadota; Gammaproteobacteria; Enterobacterales; Enterobacteriaceae.